Molecule: non-coding RNA, 104 nt
Organism: Eumeta japonica
Lineage: Eukaryota; Metazoa; Arthropoda; Insecta; Lepidoptera; Psychidae
Source: the annotation of a GenBank genome assembly
CAUACCACGCUGAAUACACUUUUCGUCCGAUCACCGAGGUUAAGCAGCAUCGGGCGCGGUCAAUACUUGGAUGGGUGACCGUCUAAGAACACCGCGUGCUGUUG